Molecule: ribosomal RNA, 253 nt
Filed under: uncultured bacterium
Lineage: Bacteria
Description: partial 16S ribosomal RNA
Rfam family: Bacterial small subunit ribosomal RNA
Source: RNAcentral
UACGUAGGGUGCAAGCGUUGUCCGGAAUUAUUGGGCGUAAAGAGCUCGUAGGUGGUUUGUCGCGUUGUUCGUGAAAACUCACAGCUCAACUGUGGGCGUGCGGGCGAUACGGGCAGACUAGAGUACUGCAGGGGAGACUGGAAUUCCUGGUGUAGCGGUGGAAUGCGCAGAUAUCAGGAGGAACACCGGUGGCGAAGGCGGGUCUCUGGGCAGUAACUGACGCUGAGGAGCGAAAGCGUGGGGAGCGAACAGG